UGGCAGGUUCCAAGAUGCUUCUGUGCGGUC
Molecule: non-coding RNA, 30 nt
Filed under: Rattus norvegicus (Norway rat)
Lineage: Eukaryota; Metazoa; Chordata; Mammalia; Rodentia; Muridae
Source: RNAcentral